RNA transcript from Spodoptera frugiperda (fall armyworm), 3089 nucleotides. RefSeq lists it as uncharacterized. NCBI's taxonomy places the organism in Eukaryota, Metazoa, Arthropoda, Insecta, Lepidoptera, Noctuidae. The transcript is spliced from 2 exons. The record is from RefSeq and is a predicted model, not a curated record.
AUACCUGGUCAAAUAAAAAUUAUACCUAAGACCAAAGAAAAAUAUAUUUCAUUUUCGAAGUUCAUUCCCGUUGCAGAUAAUGAAUAUGUACAAUUAAGGUUUUUAGAUUCUUUUAAUUUUUUAGGAACCAGUUUAGACAAACUAGCUAAAACAAUGCAGAUAGAAGAUUUUGUUAAUCUUAGAUCUCAUUUUUCUGAUAAUAAACAUUUUAGUUUGCUAACUCGAAAAGGUGUUUAUCCAUACGAUUAUAUGACCAAUUGGAAAUGUUACGAGCAACAGGCGCUGCCGCUAAAGUGUUACUUUCAUAAUUCUUUGACAAACGAAGACGUCAGCGAUGACGAUUAUAAUCAUGCUAAGACUGUAUGGAAUUGUUUCAAUAUAAAUAAUUUAGGAGAAUACACUGAUCUGUACUUGAAAACAGAUGUACUUUUAUUAACAGAUAUAUUUCAAAAUUUUAGAAAAACUUGUAAACAAUAUUAUAAACUGGAUCCUGCAUUUUAUAUAACAACUCCUAGUCUAUCUUUUGAUGCAAUGUUACUUAAAACAGGUGUUCAAUUAGAACUGUUGACAGAUUUAGCGAUUAUUAAAAUGAUUCAGGAUGGUAUUAGAGGAGGUCUGUGUGUGUGCUCGCAUCGGUAUGCAAAGGCUAAUCAUAAAUAUAUGCCUCAGUAUAAUGCUGUAAAACCAGAUUGUUUCAUAACGUAUUUAGAUUGUAAUAAUUUAUAUGGUUAUAGUAUGUGCCAGUAUUUGCCAUAUUCUAGUUUUAGAUUUCUUAAUGAUAACGAAUUAAAUCAUUUACUCAUUCAAAAUAUUGAUGAUGAUGCUGACUGGGGCUAUAUUUUAGAAGUUGAUCUUUUAUAUCCCGAUCAUUUACAUAACUACCAUAAUGACCUGCCUUUUUGUCCUGAAAAAUGCAUUCCUCCAGGUGGUAAAACAAAAAAACUUAUCGCAAAUUUAUACAAUAAGUACAAUUAUGUAAUACACUACGUUCAUUUAAAAAAGUGUUUGGAGCAUGGAUUAAUAUUACGAAAGAUUCAUAGAGUUAUUACUUUCAAACAAAGCCCCUAUUUAAAACAGUACAUAGAAUUAAACACUCAAUUACGACAGAAAGCAAAAAGUACAUUCGAGCAAGACUUUUUUAAAUUAUUAAACAACAGUGUCUUUGGUAAAACGUUGGAAAAUACUGAAAAGAGAGUCACUGUACAUUUAGUUAAUCAAUGGAGUGACAAAACAAAUAAAACCAACAAAACAACAUCCGCUGAGAGGCUUAUAGCUAAUCCUUAUUUUCAUAGUUCAACUAUAUUGACUGAAAAUUUAGUUGCUAUACAAAUGAAGCCAGAUCAAAUAAUCUUAGACAAACCUAUCUACAUAGGAUUCACAGUUUUAGAUCUUUCUAAGUCCCAUAUGUAUAACUUUCAUUACAAUGUUAUUAAACCAUUUUAUAAUGAUCGAGUACGCUUAUGUUAUACAGAUACCGAUUCUUUUGUGUAUGAAAUAUAUACUAACGAUUUUUAUUGUGAUCUGAAGCACAAUUUCUUGGAAUACUUUGAUAGCAGUAACUAUAAUAAUGAGAACGAAUUUGCCAUACCUCUAAUCAAUAAAAAAAUUCCUGGUCUUUUUAAGGAUGAAAUGGGUGGAAAAUAUAUUUCUGAGUUUGUGGGAUUAAGGUCAAAGCUCUAUUCUUUAAAAUGUUCAAAUACAGUUAUUAAAAAAGCAAAGGGAAUUAAAUCAUACGUGCUCCGAGACUUAGAUAUCACAGACUAUGAACGCAUUUUAUUAAAUGGUGGAGUUAUUCGAAGAAAAAAUAUUAUGUUUAAAUCAUUGAAACAUGAAAUUUUUACACAAAGUGUCAAUAAAAUUACAUUAUCCAGUAACGAUGAUAAACGUAUUAUUUUGAAAGACAAAAUAGCAACAAAAGCCUGGGGGCACUCAUAUACCUAUAAAAUGUAAACAAUAGUGAAUACGUCAUAUCUUGGAAUUAUUAUAUCACUGAUCCUUUCUUUAAUGUAUUAAUAAAUUAUAGAGUGGUUCUGUAUAAAACCAAUUUUAGUUAAGUUAAUAAUUGUAUUAGUGUUAAUUAGCGUAAUGUUAUUUAGGUGUAGUUUAUAAAAAUAAAUUAAGAUUUUUAAUAUUGUAAUAAAUGUGUGCAUUCAUUAUAUAUUUUUUGUUUUAUUUUUUUACCAUAUAGAAAGCCUUUAUUACUAAAAAGAAAAAAGUGGAUGUGACGAACCAUUUAGCUACAGAACCCUAAAAAAUUAUGUGUAAUACGAAACGGUAUGACGUCACGUUAGCCACAGUACCGAGCAAAAAUGCAUGGUAUACAUUUUUAGGUGUUGCAAUGGUAGCUGUAGUACUGCUCGUUGAUUAUUAAAUUAUUCUCAUUUGUCUGCUAGAUCGUACACGAUCAAUAUCAACAAUUUUGUUAUUUAAUAAAUAUUAUUCAGUGUAGAUACUCGUACUACGUGUUACAUCACAUUCUAAACAUGACUUCGAUAGCGGGAUCAGAUGUUAUGUUCAGUCAAUACGCACAGGAUCCGUAUGAAGAAUUUAAUGAGAUGAUCCGAUGCGAACGCGCUCCGUUGCGAACGCGCCUGGGUUGCAGCCAGGCUCCGAAAGAAAAGAAGAAUACGUCUCGACGCAAGGACAAAUCUAAACACCAUAAUUCGACUCAAUCUUUCGUCAUGAGUAGACAUCAUCGGCGAGGCAGUAAACUAAUAAAAAUUUCAGUGAUCGAGUUGUGCAAUGAUUCUCCGGACAGUGAUAGUGACAGUAAUAGUGAUAACGUUAUUAUCCAAGCGCAAUACGUAGUUAAAGACGCGGUUGACUUUAUUAUGGACGAAACGGAGUCGUUAGUUAAGAAAAUAUCGAAAUCAUUAAUUGAUAGUGACUUUUAAAAACCCUGUGUAAAUAUUCAAAUUUUUAUUGUUUAUUGUAAUAAUUUAAUUGGAAUAAAUAUUCGGUUAAGUUAGUUUUAAUCUUCUUAAACUUAGUAUUUUUAUGUUAAUGUAGUAUUUUCAUGUUAAUGGUAUUCGUACAGGUACAGGUAUUAUAUAAAUUGUAAAAAUAAAAAGCAUGUUUUCUGUAUAAAA